AGAACUACUUCUGGAGACCUUGUAGAGGCUUGCCUAUUCCUAGAGUUCCGUUACUCCUCAGUCCAACUGAGAAUUUCUCCCACUAGUUGAAUGGGGAAACCUGGUGCUUCUUACACAUUUUCUGGAGGCGGGAAAAAGGAAGCCAGGUGAGAACAAGGGAGACAUGAGCCCCCUGGAAACCCUGGCUGCUGGCCUGACAUCCUAGAGAUUUACCUCGAUACUAUGUGAAAGGAGUGUGUCUGAAGAAAGCCUCUUCCCAACACUGGGGCACAUCCAUCAGGAGCACUGCCCGUCACAUUGUAUCCAUCAUCACAUUCCACAAGCUUUUAAGUAGAGUCUCCCUUAGACAGUCCACAUGGACUUCCCUGGCUUGGGUCCCACCUUCCUCAGAAACCUGCAAGACCCGUGACUCGCAACCCUCUACGUUUAGCACUGCGACUCCUUCCCUUCUGGUCAUCAAUCCCUCGACCGUCUGGAGCUCCUCAAACCCCACAGGAGCCACCUGAGAUCCUGCUGCUUUCUAGUUCGGUUACAGGUCGACAUCUCGUGCUGUCUUUCUUUCUUUCUUUUUUUUUACGUGCUGACUUUAAACUUAUUAGGGUUUUCAACCAGGAUUUAAGAAUUUGUGUGUGUCUUCGGCCCUUACCUCCCUACCUGGCAUGUGGUGGAAGGUCAAUAUGUUUCCUGAAAGACACAAACUGACUUUCUACCUAAGAUACCAAUCAACUAAAAAAUAAAAAUAAAAUUAAAUACA
This 754-nucleotide long non-coding RNA is filed under the name Ursus maritimus (polar bear). RNAcentral describes it as "lncRNA (ENSUMAG00000005047.1)". The record is from RNAcentral. Lineage: Eukaryota; Metazoa; Chordata; Mammalia; Carnivora; Ursidae.